RNAcentral lists this ribosomal RNA (1394 nucleotides) under uncultured bacterium. RNAcentral's name for it is "16S ribosomal RNA". It matches the Rfam family "Bacterial small subunit ribosomal RNA". The record is from RNAcentral.
GAUGAACGCUGGCGGCGUGUCUUAGGCAUGCAAGUCGAACGAAACAAUUUGAGAUUAUAUCAAGGAUUGUUUAGUGGCAGACGGGUGCGUAUGACAGUGGUAACCUACCUCUAACAUGAGUACAACUCCGCGAAAGCGGAGCUAAUCCUCAAUAAGAACGCGGGGUCAUAUGACAUUCGCGUUUAAAGGUGCAUAGCAAUAUGCAUCGGUUAGAGAAGGGCCUUUGGUCUAUCAGCUAGUUGGUGAGGUAAAAGCUCACCAAGGCGAUGACGGAUAGGGGGUGUGAGAGCAUGGCCCCCCUCACUGGGACUGAGACACUGCCCAGACACCUACGGGUGGCUGCAGUCAAGAAUAUUCCCCAAUGGCCGAAAGGCUGAGGGAGCGACGCCGCGUGGUUGAAGAAGUCCUUCGGGAUGUAAAAACCUUUUGUUAGGGAAAAACACUGAUUGUACCUAGCGAAUAAGAGGUGGCUAACUCUGUGCCAGCAGCAGCGGUAAUACAGAGACCUCAAGCGUUAUCCGGAUUUACUGGGUGUAAAGAGUUAAUAGGCGGUUUUUUAAGUCUAGGGUUAAAGGCUAUGGCUCAACCAUAGAAAUGCCCUAGAAACUAAAAAGCUAGAGACUGGAAGAGGCAAGCGGAAUUGUCGGGGUAGCAGUAAAAUGCGUUAAUCUCGACAAGAACACCAAUAGCGAAGGCAGCUUGCUAGAACAGUUCUGACGCUGCAAUAACGAAAGCGUGGGGAGCGAAAGGGAUUAGAUACCCCUGUAGUCCACGCCCUAAACGAUGAAUGCUAGGUAUUUCUCGCCUUCGGGUGAGAAGUAUCGUAAGUUAACGCGUUAAGCAUUCCACCUGGGUAGUACGAUCGCAAGAUUAAAACUCAAAGGAAUAGACGGGGACCCGCACAAGUGGUGGAGCAUGUGGUUCAAUUCGACAGUAACCGAGGAACCUCACCAGGACUUGACAUCUGGGAAAUCCUGCCGAAAGGUGGGAGUGCCCGCAAGGGAAUCCCAAGACAGGUGCUGCAUGGUUGUCGUCAGCUCGUGCCGUGAGGUGUACCGUUAAGUCGGGUAACGAGCGCAACCCUUACCCUGAGUUACAUAGUGUCUCAGGGAACUGCCCGCGAUAAGCGGGAGGAAGGCGAGGAUGACGUCAAAUCAGCAUGGUCCUUAUGUCCUGGGCUACACACGUGCUACAAUGGGAAAUAACAAUGGGCAGCCAAGCCGUAAGGCAGAGCAAAUCCCAUCAAACUUUCCCUCAGUUCAGAUUGAGGUCUGCAACUCGACCUCAUGAAGCCGGAAUCACUAGUAAACGCGUAUCAGAAUGGCGCGUUGAAUACGUUCUCGGGUCUUGUACUCACCGCCCGUCAAUCCAAGGAAGUUGGAGGCGCCUGAAGC